RNAcentral lists this ribosomal RNA (253 nucleotides) under uncultured bacterium. RNAcentral describes it as "partial 16S ribosomal RNA". It matches the Rfam family "Bacterial small subunit ribosomal RNA", at positions 524 to 776 of the family's 1533-position model. The record is from RNAcentral.
UACGUAGGUCGCAAGCGUUGUCCGGAUUUACUGGGCGUAAAGCGUGCGCAGGCGGUUUUGUAAGCCAGAUGUGAAAUCCCCGGGCUUAACCUGGGAAUGGCAUUUGGGACUGCAAGGCUCGAGUGCGGCAGAGGAGACUGGAAUUCCUGGUGUAGCAGUGAAAUGCGUAGAUAUCAGGAGGAACACCGAUGGCGAAGGCAGGUCUCUGGGCUGACACUGACGCUCAUGCACGAAAGCGUGGGGAGCAAACAGG